This is a non-coding RNA of Haladaptatus sp. R4, 2918 nucleotides long. The record is from Rfam. Lineage: Archaea; Methanobacteriati; Methanobacteriota; Halobacteria; Halobacteriales; Haladaptataceae.
CCAACGUGGCUACUGUGCCACCUGGUGAAUGGCUCGGCUCGAGCGCCGACGACGGACGUGCCAAGCUGCGAAAAGCCUGAGGAAGCCGCACGGAGGCUAAGAACUCAGGAUCUCCGAAUGGGAAUCCCCCCGCAAUUGCCUCGCGCAAUGGGGAACGCCGAGAACUGAAACAUCUCAGUAUCGGCAGGAACAAAAAGCAAACGCGAUGUCGCUAGUAACGGCGAGUGAACACGACAAAGUCCAAACCGAAGCCCUCACGGGCAAUGUGGUGUACGGACUGACUCUCAUCGUCGAAACCGUCUCAUGAAGUCUCCUGGAACGGAGCGUGAAACAGGGUGAUAACCCCGUAAUGAGAUCAAGUACGACGUGCGUCAGCUCCCGAGUAGCAGGGGUCGGAAAUCCCUUGUGAAUGUCGCGGGCAUCGACCGCGAAGACUCAAUACGACUCGAGACCGAUAGCGAACAAGUAGUGUGAACGAACGCUGAAAAGCACCCCGAAAAGGGAGGUGCAAUAGGGCCUGAAAUCAGGUGGCGAUGGAGCGACAGGGCAUACAAGGCCCAGCAAAAAACGACCCAGGUGCAAGCCUGCAGUAGGAAUUGCUGGGAGCCGAUGUUCUGUCGUACGUUUUGAAAAACGAGCCAGGGAGUGUAUCUAAUUGGCGAGCCUAACCCGAGCAUCGGGGCAGGCAUAGGGAAACCAAUACGGCCGCAGCACUUUGUGUGAGGGCCACCGUCUUCAAGGGCGGGGAGUCAACUGGAUACGACCCGAAACCGGAUGAUCUACGCAUGAGCAAGGCGAAGCGUGGCGAAAGCCACGUGGAGGCCUGUUAGAGUUGGUGUCCUACAAUACCCUCUCGUGACUUAUGUGUAGGGGUGAAAGGCCCAUCGAAUCCGGCAACAGCUGGUUCCAACCGAAACAUGUCGAAGCAUGACCUUCACUAAGGUAGUUCGUGGGGUAGAGCGACCGAUUGGGAGAACCGUCUCCGAGAGGAGUCGGCCUCCCUGUCAAACUCCAAACCUACGGACGCCGUUGACGUGAGGAAUCCGGUGCGCGGGGUAAGCCUGUGUACCGUGAGGGAGACAACCCAGAGCUGGGUUAAGGUCCCAAAGUGCGAGCUAAGUGCGAUUGAAGGUGGUCGCAAGCCCUAAACAGCCGGGAGGUGAGCUUAGAAGCAGCUACCCUCUAAGAAAAGCGUAACAGCUUACCGGCCGAGGUUUGCGGCGCCGAAAAUGAUCGGGGCUCAAGCUCGCCACCGAGACCUAGCAGCACUCUUGAUCGAGUGAUCUAGUAGGUUGGCAUUCUGAAUGGGUGGAAGUGCGGGUGAGAACUCGUAUGGACCGUUCAGUAUCGAAAAUCCUGGCCAUAGUAGCAGCGUUAGUCGGGUUAGACCCCCGACGACCUAAUGAGUAAGGGUUCCUCAGCAAUGCUGAUCAGCUGAGGGUUAGCCGAUCCUAAGUCUCACCGUAAUUCGAAUGAGGCAAUAGGGAAACUGGUUAAUAUUCCAGUGCUAACACCAUUAAAAGUCGACGCCUCAGGAAACACUAAGCCGGGCCUUCGCCCGGUCGAAUCGUCCAACUCCGUGGAAGCCGUAAUGGCAGGAAGCGGAAGAAUGGCGAGAUAGCGAAAGUUAGUGGUACCCGGGGCCCGUGAAAAGACGAGCGUGUUAAUCGUACCGAGAUCCGACACAGGUACUCUGGCGGUGAAAGCCAAGGUCUGUCGGGAGCAACCGACGUUAGGGAAUUCGGCAAGUUAGUCCCGUAAGUUCGCGAUAAGGGAUGCCUGCUCUGCAUAAGAGCAGGCCGCAGUGACUCGGACGCUCCAACUGUCUAGUAACAACAUAGGUGACCGCAAAUCCGCAAGGACUCGUACGGUCACUGAAUCCUGCCCAGUGCGGGUAUCUGAACACCUAGUACAAUAGGACGAAGGACCCGUUAACGGCGGGGGUAACUAUGACCCUCUUAAGGUAGCGUAGUACCUUGCCGCUUCAGUAGCGGCUUGCAUGAAUGGAUCAAUGAGAGCGUCACUGUCCCAACGUUGGGCCCGGUGAACUGUACAUUCCAGUGCGGAGUCUGGAGACCCCCAAGGGGAAGCGAAGACCCUAUAGAGCUUUACUGCAGGCUGUCGCUGGGACGUGGUCGCUACUGUGCAGAAUAGGUAGGAGCCGUUACACAGGUAUCCGCGCUAGCGGAUCACCGAGGCAUCAUUGAAAUACUACCCGGUAGUGACUGCGACCCUCACUCCUGGCGGAGGACACCGGUAGCCAGGCAGUUUGACUGGGGCGGUACGCGCUCGAAAAGAUAUCGAGCGCGCCCCAAGAUUUCCUCACUCGGGUCGGAGACCCGAGGAAGAGCGCAAGAGCAAAAGGAAGUCUGACAGUGUCCUACACAACGAGGGACGCUGACGUGAAAACGUGGUCUAGCGAACCAAUGAGGCUGCUUGAUGCGGCCCAUUGAUGACAGAAAAGCUACCUUAGGGAUAACAGAGUCGUCACCGGCAAGAGCACAUAUCGACCCGGUGGCUUGCUACCUCGAUGUCGGUUCCCUCCAUCCUGCCCGUGCAGAAGCGGGCAAGGGUGAGGUUGUUCGCCUAUUAAAGGAGGUCGUGAGCUGGGUUUAGACCGUCGUGAGACAGGUCGGCUGCUAUCUAUUGGGGGUGUUACGGUAUCUGACGAGAACGUUCGUAUAGUACGAGAGGAACUACGAAUGGGUGCCACUGGUGUACCGGUCGUUCGAAAGAGCGCGUGCCGGGCAGCUACGCACCACGGGGUAAGAGCUGAACGCAUCUAAGCUCGAAACCCACUUGGAAAAGAGAUACCACCGAGAUCACUCGUAGAAGACGAGUUCGAUAGGCUCGGGAUGUACGCGCCGAGGCAACGAGGCGUUCAGUCCGCGAGUACUAACAGAUCGACGCCACACAAU